Molecule: non-coding RNA, 74 nt
Filed under: Amorphochlora amoebiformis
Lineage: Eukaryota; Cercozoa; Chlorarachniophyceae
Source: RNAcentral
AGAAGAAAGGAAAAAAAAAAAAAAAAAAAAAAUAAUUUCAAAAAGGGCGCAAAUUAUUUUUUUCUCUCUUUUUU